Talpa occidentalis (Iberian mole) is the source of this 681-nucleotide long non-coding RNA. RefSeq lists it as uncharacterized. The transcript is spliced from 3 exons. Lineage: Eukaryota; Metazoa; Chordata; Mammalia; Eulipotyphla; Talpidae. The record is from RefSeq and is a predicted model, not a curated record.
CCACCCAAGAGAUCAGUUCUUGGUCAGAGAUUCUGGGAGGGCAGCAGGGAUAAUGUGAACGGCUUUGUGGACCCUGGACUGGCCCUCCAAGAUGCACAGGGGUUUUCUCCAAUGCCAGGCUGAGAAUCAGCUCAGCUUUCUGCAGGCCUUGACCUUCUGGUGUCUGUGGAGGAAAAUGAGGAUGUUGGGAAGACUCAAAAGCAGGAAUGAGUGGGGUUCACUUAAGCUCCAUCUUGGCAAGAAAAGGGCCACGAACCUGGGGACCCAGGGCCUCCAAUGUGUGGAUUCAGCUCUCUGAAGCUCUGCUGGCAGAAUGCUCAGGGGGUGCAGAGCAAAACAGAGAUGGAGGAGUGAGGUCCCGAAAGCAGUUCCUGACUCAGGAUAGAAAAAAGAAUUUAACCACCCCAGGACAGCAGCUCCCCAUCAGAGACAACACCUGGAAGAGGCCAAGUUGACCUGCAGGGUGCAUGGGAACUAACCCUUCAGCCCCAGCUCUGGGACUUGGGCUCUGUCCUUCUUCCUCCCUGCUCCCCUUCACUGGCUUGUGGGUGUCCCAAUGCCAAGAUCUGUACGCAGCAGGUGAGAAGAUGCAAGGGACAGACGAGAUGAAAUUCAUCACCAUCCUGUGCACAUGCAGUGCCACACACCUGAUGAGAGGUACCAGAGAUGGCAGGCAAGGGC